RNAcentral lists this ribosomal RNA (468 nucleotides) under uncultured bacterium. RNAcentral describes it as "partial 16S ribosomal RNA". It matches the Rfam family "Bacterial small subunit ribosomal RNA", at positions 28 to 507 of the family's 1533-position model. The record is from RNAcentral.
GACGAACGCUGGCGGCGUGCUUAACACAUGCAAGUCGAACGGAAAGGCCCUGCUUUUGUGGGGUGCUCGAGUGGCGAACGGGUGAGUAACACGUGAGUAACCUGCCCUUGACUUUGGGAUAACUUCAGGAAACUGGGGCUAAUACCGGAUAGGAGCUCCUGCUGCAUGGUGGGGGUUGGAGAGUUUCGGCGGUUGGGGAUGGACUCGCGGCUUAUCAGCUUGUUGGUGGGGUAGUGGCUUACCAAGGGUUUGACGGGUAGCCGGCCUGAGAGGGUGACCGGCCACAUUGGGACUGAGAUACGGCCCAGACUCCUACGGGAGGCAGCAGUGGGGAAUAUUGCACAGUGAGCGGAAGCCUGAUGCAGCAACGCCGCGUGCGGGAUGACGGCCUUCGAGUUGUAAACCGCUUUCGCCUGUGACGAAGCGUGAGUGACGGUAAUGGGUAAAGAAGCACCGGCUAACUACGUG